CAGUAGCCGCGGUAAUACGGAGGGAGCUAGCGUUGUUCGGAAUUACUGGGCGUAAAGCGCGCGUAGGCGGUUACUCAAGUCAGAGGUGAAAGCCCGGGGCUCAACCCCGGAACUGCCUUUGAAACUAGGUGACUAGAAUCUUGGAGAGGUCAGUGGAAUUCCGAGUGUAGAGGUGAAAUUCGUAGAUAUUCGGAAGAACACCAGUGGCGAAGGCGACUGACUGGACAAGUAUUGACGCUGAGGUGCGAAAGCGUGGGGAGCAAACAGGAUUAGAUACCCGAGUAGUCCCUGUCUCUUAUAU
Molecule: ribosomal RNA, 301 nt
Filed under: uncultured bacterium
Lineage: Bacteria
Description: partial 16S ribosomal RNA
Rfam family: Bacterial small subunit ribosomal RNA
Source: RNAcentral